RNAcentral lists this ribosomal RNA (515 nucleotides) under uncultured bacterium. RNAcentral describes it as "bacterial SSU rRNA". It matches the Rfam family "Bacterial small subunit ribosomal RNA", at positions 28 to 535 of the family's 1533-position model. The record is from RNAcentral.
GAUGAACGUUAGCGACAGGCCUAACACAUGCAAGUCGAGGGGCAGCACGGUGUAGCAAUACACGGGUGGCGACCGGCGCACGGGUGAGUAACGCGUAUGCAACCUGCCUACUACAAGGGGAUAACCCGUUGAAAGACGGACUAAUACCCUAUAACACAGGGAAUCCGCAUGGAUAUAUUUGUUAAAGAUUUAUCGGUAGUAGAUGGGCAUGCGUUCCAUUAGCUUGUUGGUGAGGUAACGGCUCACCAAGGCAACGAUGGAUAGGGGAACUGAGAGGUUGAUCCCCCAACUGGAACUGAGACACGGUCCAGACUCCUACGGGAGGCAGCAGUGAGGAAUAUUGGUCAAUGGACGAGAGUCUGAACCAGCCAAGUCGCGUGAAGGAAGACGGCCCUACGGGUUGUAAACUUCUUUUGUAAGGGAAUAAAUAGUCUUACGCGCUAAGACGUUGCAGGUACCUUACGAAUAAGGAUCGGCUAACUCCGUGCCAGCAGCCGCGGUAAAAGUGUGUGUAC